Molecule: ribosomal RNA, 404 nt
Filed under: bacterium enrichment culture clone ALO1_GLFRUDD03F5FJF
Lineage: Bacteria
Description: bacterial SSU rRNA
Rfam family: Bacterial small subunit ribosomal RNA
Source: RNAcentral
GAGUUUGAUCAUGGCUCAGAUUGAACGCUGGCGGCAUGCCUUACACAUGCAAGUCGAACGGCAGCACGGGAGCUUGCUCCUGGUGGCGAGUGGCGAACGGGUGAGUAAUGCAUCGGAACGUAUCCUGGAGUGGGGGGAUAACGUAGCGAAAGUUACGCUAAUACCGCAUAUUCUGUGAGCAGGAAAGCGGGGGACCUUCGGGCCUCGCGCUCUUGGAGCGGCCGAUGUCGGAUUAGCUAGUUGGUGAGGUAAAGGCUCACCAAGGCGACGAUCCGUAGCAGGUCUGAGAGGAUGAUCUGCCACACUGGAACUGAGACACGGUCCAGACUCCUACGGGAGGCAGCAGUGGGGAAUUUUGGACAAUGGGGGCAACCCUGAUCCAGCCAUGCCGCGUGAGUAGAAGG